This 303-nucleotide ribosomal RNA is filed under the name uncultured Glomus. Its description in RNAcentral is "partial 26S ribosomal RNA". It matches the Rfam family "Eukaryotic large subunit ribosomal RNA", at positions 294 to 628 of the family's 3401-position model. Lineage: Eukaryota; Fungi; Glomeromycota; Glomeromycetes; Glomerales; Glomeraceae. The record is from RNAcentral.
GGGAGGUAAAUUUCUCCUAAGGCUAAAUAUUGGCGAGAGACCGAUAGCGAACAAGUACCGUGAGGGAAAGAUGAAAAGAACUUUGAAAAGAGAGUUAAACAGUACGUGAAAUUGUUGAAAGGGAAACGAUUGAAGUCAGUCAUACCAACGGGAAAUCAACCUUUUGAGCUUGGUCUCGUGGGUUUUGAAGAGUUUCAAAGCCUUCGGAUUCGCUAGAUUGGGAUCUCUUGGUGUACUUUUUCGUACGGUUAGUCAACAUCGGUUUUGAAUGUCAUAAAAUGACUGGAGGAAUGUAGCUUCGAU